CACGUAGGGGGCAAGCGUUGUCCGGAUUUAUUGGGCGUAAAGAGCUCGUAGGCGGCUCAGUUAGUCGGGUGUGAAACCCCCGGGCUCAACCCGGGGACGCCACCCGAUACUGCUGUGGCUAGAGUCCGGUAGGGGAGCGUGGAAUUCCUGGUGUAGCGGUGAAAUGCGUAGAGAUCAGCAGGAACACCCGUGGCGAAGGCGGCUUCCUGGGUCACCACUGACGCUGAGGCGCGAAAGCGUGGGGAGCGAACGGG
Molecule: ribosomal RNA, 254 nt
Filed under: uncultured bacterium
Lineage: Bacteria
Description: partial 16S ribosomal RNA
Rfam family: Bacterial small subunit ribosomal RNA
Source: RNAcentral